Small nuclear RNA from Lutra lutra (Eurasian river otter), 135 nucleotides. RefSeq annotates it as U4 spliceosomal RNA. NCBI's taxonomy places the organism in Eukaryota, Metazoa, Chordata, Mammalia, Carnivora, Mustelidae. The transcript has a single exon. The record is from RefSeq and is a predicted model, not a curated record.
AGCUUUGCGCAGUGGCAGUAUCGUAGCCAAUGAGGUUUAUCCGAGGCGCGAUUAUUGCUAAUUAAAUAUAAGAGCUAACACUAUAAAACUUUUAGAAGAAAAUAUACAGGUAAAUCUUUGUGACCUUGGAUUUGG